Long non-coding RNA from Mustela putorius furo (domestic ferret), 1762 nucleotides. The record is from Ensembl. NCBI's taxonomy places the organism in Eukaryota, Metazoa, Chordata, Mammalia, Carnivora, Mustelidae.
UUUAUUCUGCCAGUGUUUUUUACUUGUGUAAUUAGGAUUGUGCCCAUUUAUUAUUCUCUUCUUUCUUUUAGGUUCAUGGAGCCUUUGGAACCACUCUUUAUCUAGAGAUUUUGGGAACUGAAGCUUUUAGUGGGUCAACGAAGGCCAGAAGAUAAUAGUCCAAGGUCCAGAAGACUGUCUUGACCAUUUAGGGGUGUCUGGCAAGUAGUAGAUGUGUAACACAUGUGUUGACUGACCGACUGAAUGAAUAAGCUGUCCUCUCCAGCAUUCCUCAUAGAUCCUCAUAGCCAUUCAUGUAUUUCAUUGGUUACAAUUGAUGGAUCCUGUGGCUUUUCUAUCUGCACAGGGAAGGAAUUUACAACCAGAAGAAACAAAGCACUUAAACAUUCUGGAGAUUUACUUCAUGACUUCUUUUAAUUAAAGUUAAUUCCUUAUUAAAGAGGUACUCAUAUUUCCAAUCCCGCAUCUUCUUUCUCAAAGAGAGCACUCACACUAUUGUUUGUGCAACUGCAAGUAUUUGAUGGGUUUAAAUUAUUGCGUUGUCAUUAUUUUUUUAAAGUCAUCAUUUUUUUAAAGUUAUUUUCUUUCAUGUGAAUAUCUAAUUCAAAAUCUCUCUGCAUGUUAAUAUCCUGAUUUGUAGGAGAGAUCAGUGGUCAUAGGGUUAUUCUGAGAACUCAAUGUCUUAAGAAGUAAAGGAGUUAAACUCUCCCUGGCAAAGAGGAAAAACUCAGUCUAUGCUCCCCACAUGGUGGUUGUUGCUGGAAGUGCUUCUGUCCCUGUUGUCUUUGAUCCUCCAGGACCUACUUGAAUCAUAUUCUUGCAAGAACAUGAAGAUGAAUGGACUACUUUUGUUUCUUGUGCUCUGGUAGAAUCCACAAAGAUUAGUCCAACUGUUAGAAUGAUCUCUGAGGAGAUAAAUAUGAGAUUUUAUUUCAGAAGUUUCAGUCUUUGAGAGCCUUCCCCUUGGGAGCAGAAGAUGAGCAUUUGGAGUACUCCAAGGUAGAAUAAUGAAUAUUUGCUCUUCCUUUCAUUUCUUACAAUUUUCCUGACCCAGAAGCAAUAGUGGAUUCUUCUGUCAUUCUGGUAUUCCCUAGCUAUUCUUGUGGGCACCUUGCCUGAUUCAGUUAUGCUUUAUAAAUUUUAAAAUACAGUUGGAGGCUCCAUACUACUUUAUCUCAGAGUCUGAAAAAUAAAAAAAAAAAAUGAGAAAUACAGUGGAAGCCUGUAUUAGUUAAGAUUAAAUGCAGCUACAUAUGAAAGAAACUCAAAUAGCAGCAGCUUAACUAAGAAAGAUCAUUUUUUCCCCUCUCACAUAAAAAAUGAGCUGUGGUUGGCAGCCCAGGGCCAUUAAUCAAUGGCCCAGUGUAUUCUUCCUUUCUGCUCUUCCAUCCUUAGUGUGACUUCUGUGCUCAAGAUUGCCUUACUGUUGUGGGAUUGACAUUGUAUCUCCAGCCAUCAUGUUAAUGUUCUAGGCAGCAGAAUGGAGGAAAGGAGAGGAGCAAAGUGUUUAUCCUCACGGAAUAAGUUCCUUUUAAAAAGCUUUGUGAGGGGGCGCCUGCGUGGCUCAGUGGGUUAAGCCUUGCCUUCAGCUCAGGUCAUGAUCUCUGGGGCCUGGGAUUGAGCUCUGCAUCGGGCUCUCUGCUCAGCGGGGAGCCUGUUUCCCUUCUCUCUCUGCCUGCCUCUCUGCCUACUUGUGAUCUCUGUCAAAUAAAUAAAAUCUUAAAAAAAAAAAAAGCUUUGUGAGAAGCUGUACACUGCAUCU